This 497-nucleotide ribosomal RNA is filed under the name uncultured bacterium. RNAcentral describes it as "partial 16S ribosomal RNA". It matches the Rfam family "Bacterial small subunit ribosomal RNA", at positions 28 to 507 of the family's 1533-position model. The record is from RNAcentral.
GACGAACGCUGGCGGCGUGCCUAAUACAUGCAAGUUGAGCGCUGAAGGUUGGUACUUGUACCAACUGGAUGAGCAGCGAACGGGUGAGUAACGCGUGGGGAAUCUGCCUUUGAGCGGGGGACAACAUUUGGAAACGAAUGCUAAUACCGCAUAAAAACUUUAAACACAAGUUUUAAGUUUGAAAGAUGCAAUUGCAUCACUCAAAGAUGAUCCCGCGUUGUAUUAGCUAGUUGGUGAGGUAAAGGCUCACCAAGGCGAUGAUACAUAGCCGACCUGAGAGGGUGAUCGGCCACAUUGGGAAUGAGACACGGCCCAAACUCCUACGGGAGGCAGCAGUAGGGAAUCUUCGGCAAUGGACGAAAGUCUGACCGAGCAACGCCGCGUGAGUGAAGAAGGUUUUCGGAUCGUAAAACUCUGUUGGUAGAGAAGAACGUUGGUGAGAGUGGAAAGCUCAUCAAGUGACGUUAACUACCCAGAAAGGGACGGCUAACUACGUG